RNAcentral lists this small nuclear RNA (174 nucleotides) under Sphenodon punctatus (tuatara). RNAcentral's name for it is "U2 spliceosomal RNA (ENSSPUG00000014924.1)". It matches the Rfam family "U2 spliceosomal RNA". Rfam says of the family: U2 is a small nuclear RNA (snRNA) component of the spliceosome (involved in pre-mRNA splicing). Complementary binding between U2 snRNA (in an area lying towards the 5' end but 3' to hairpin I) and the branchpoint sequence (BPS) of the intron results the bulging out of an unpaired adenosine, on the BPS, which initiates a nucleophilic attack at the intronic 5' splice site, thus starting the first of two transesterification reactions that mediate splicing. The record is from RNAcentral. Lineage: Eukaryota; Metazoa; Chordata; Lepidosauria; Sphenodontia; Sphenodontidae.
UAACAUUCUCUAAUAGAUUAAUCUCUUCUCAUCAGUUUAAUAUCUGAUGUGUCCUCAUUCCGAGGACUCUAUAUUAAAUGGAUUUUUGGAACAGGGAGAUGGUCCUGGAGCUUGCUCCAGCCGCUCCAUGCAUCAACCUGGUAUUGCAGUGCUUCCAGGAACGGUGUGCUUCCC